GCUGGGCAUGGUGGCCCACGCCUGUAAUCCCAGAGUCUCUGGAAGCUGAGGUAGGAGGAUCAUGAGUUUCAAGCCAGCUGCAGCAAUUUAGCGAAGCCCUGAGCAACUUAGUGAGACCCUGUCUCUA
This 127-nucleotide small RNA is filed under the name Marmota monax (woodchuck). Lineage: Eukaryota; Metazoa; Chordata; Mammalia; Rodentia; Sciuridae. The record is from RNAcentral.